This 427-nucleotide long non-coding RNA is filed under the name Marmota monax (woodchuck). Lineage: Eukaryota; Metazoa; Chordata; Mammalia; Rodentia; Sciuridae. The record is from RNAcentral.
CUGUGGCAGAUGGUGGCCCGUACGGGGAGCCCCGGGACACUCGGGGGUAAGUGACGAAAAAAAAAGCUGCUCGUCCAUAGAUAGGACGGGAACAAAUCUGCUCAUCCCUAGGCAGAUAGGGCGAGAGGAAAAAUGGUCAUUUCAAAAAAAUGGAAAAGAUUGACACAGUAUGUUUGUGUCUUGUUUUGUCUCAGUGUAUUGUAUUGUUUUUGUGCUGAAAAUAUGGAAGGGGUGAAAAGUAAAUUACUAAGGGAAGGAAGCACCCCAGUGGAACCAAGAAUAGUUAGGGCAUGUGUUGAUAAGAGCCCAAGAACUCUAGUCAGAAAGAAAAAGAAAGUUCAGAAGAAGAAGGAUUAUCAGGAAAAAAGUUGCAGCAAAAGGCUAUUACUAAAUACUUUUCAUUACCGGAGGGUGCGUGAAGCAGAGA